UAAGUUAUGAAGGGCGCAUGGUGAAUGCCUUGGUACUAGGAGCCGAUGAAGGACGGGACUAACACCGAUAUGCUUCGAGGAGCUUCGGUACCCUUUGAUCCGCAUAUAUCCGAAAGUU
This 118-nucleotide ribosomal RNA is filed under the name Limosilactobacillus fermentum. Its description in RNAcentral is "Lactobacillus fermentum partial 23S ribosomal RNA". Lineage: Bacteria; Bacillati; Bacillota; Bacilli; Lactobacillales; Lactobacillaceae. The record is from RNAcentral.